This 859-nucleotide long non-coding RNA is filed under the name Ananas comosus (pineapple). RNAcentral's name for it is "long non-coding RNA (ACOM_LNC032886)". Lineage: Eukaryota; Viridiplantae; Streptophyta; Magnoliopsida; Poales; Bromeliaceae. The record is from RNAcentral.
AAUUUUAAUUUAUGUGAAAAUUUAUGGAAAGUAAUUCACUUGUGGGCAUUUUUACCGGCGUAAUUAUAAUUUUGCCGAAAUUAUAUAUAUAGUGAGAUCAGAAACAUUAGUUAACGACUUGAUCAGUCGACGGUGUCGAGAAGAUUUUUUGAUGGUGUACGAAAUUGAGCCACGAGAUCUUUUCGGCAUAUUGCUACUAGGGAUGUCAAUAGGUUGGAUUUGGGGCGGAUUUUCAAAAAUUCGAACCCGAACCCGACUCCAAACCCGAAAUCCGAAUUCGAAUCCGAACCCGACGGAUUUUAGAAAUCUAUAUCCAAAUCUAAACCCGACCAAAAAUUCAGAACCCAAACCCGAAUACGAAAAUCUGAACCGAAAUAAAUAUUUCUCUUUUCAAUAUUUCAAAAUAUAUUACAUUAAAUCUAAACUUUUAAAAUACAAAUUAAAAUAUAACAUCACAUUUUAUAUACAUAUAAUAUAUAAUGUAAAAUAAAUGCGAGUUCAGGUCAAAAUCCAUAUCCGAGAAUUUAUAUCCAUCGGUUUUUUGUUUUUGAUAUUCAUAUUCAAAACCAUAUCUGUUUAGUAUCCGGUAAAUGCGCUCCGUACGGGUUCAGCUUCGGAUAAAAUUUCAGGUAUCCGUACCCAUUGACAUCCCUAAUUGCUACGACAAAAUUAGUAUUUCUACUCUCACCAAGUUAAUCUAAGACAGAUCCUUAGCGAGUGUUUGGAUCGACGCAAUUCUAAUUUGGCUGAAAAUCAAGUUAAGCAAGAAUAAAAUUAUUUUUUUUUGAGAAAUAGGUAGCGAGCUAUCUGCUUUAUUUAUAAAGCAAGAUGAAUAAAGCGCACAGGGUGGAGGCAGCUG